This 497-nucleotide ribosomal RNA is filed under the name uncultured bacterium. RNAcentral's name for it is "partial 16S ribosomal RNA". It matches the Rfam family "Bacterial small subunit ribosomal RNA", at positions 28 to 507 of the family's 1533-position model. The record is from RNAcentral.
GAUGAACGCUGGCGGCGUGCCUAAUACAUGCCAGUCGAGCGAACAGACGAGGAGCUUGCUCCUCUGACGUUAGCGGCGGACGGGUGAGUAACACGUGGAUAACCUACCUAUAAGACUGGGAUAACUUCGGGAAACCGGAGCUAAUACCGGAUAAUAUAUUGAACCGCAUGGUUCAAUAGUGAAAGACGGUUUUGCUGUCACUUAUAGAUGGAUCCGCGCCGCAUUAGUUAGUUGGUAAGGUAACGGCUUACCAAGGCAACGAUGCGUAGCCGACCUGAGAGGGUGAUCGGCCACACUGGAACUGAGACACGGUCCAGACUCCUACGGGAGGCAGCAGUAGGGAAUCUUCCGCAAUGGGCGAAAGCCUGACGGAGCAACGCCGCGUGAGUGAUGAAGGCCUUCGGAUCGUAAAACUCUGUUAUUAGGGAAGAACAAAUGUGUAAGUAACUAUGCACGUCUUGACGGUACCUAAUCAGAAAGCCACGGCUAACUACGUG